This 497-nucleotide ribosomal RNA is filed under the name uncultured bacterium. Its description in RNAcentral is "partial 16S ribosomal RNA". It matches the Rfam family "Bacterial small subunit ribosomal RNA", at positions 28 to 507 of the family's 1533-position model. The record is from RNAcentral.
GAUGAACGCUGGCGGCGUGCCUAAUACAUGCAAGUCGAGCGAACAGACGAGGAGCUUGCUCCUUUGACGUUAGCGGCGGACGGGUGAGUAACACGUAGGUAACCUACCUAUAAGACUGGGAUAACUUCGGGAAACCGGAGCUAAUACCGGAUAAUAUUUCGAACCGCAUGGUUCGAUAGUGAAAGAUGGCUUUGCUAUCACUUAUAGAUGGACCUGCGCCGUAUUAGCUAGUUGGUAAGGUAACGGCUUACCAAGGCAACGAUACGUAACCGACCCGAGAGGGAGAUCCGCCACACUGGAACGGAGGCACGGUCCAGACUCCGACGGGAGGCAGCAGUAGGGAAUCUUACGCAAUGGGGGAAAGCCUGACGGAGCAACGCCGCGUGAGUGAUGAAGGUCUUCUGAUCGUAAAACUCUGUUAUCAGGGAAGAACAAAAGUGUAAGUAACCGUGCACAUCUUGACGGUACCUAAUCAGAAAGCCCCGGCUAACUACGUG